This is a transfer RNA of Candidatus Acidianus copahuensis, 75 nucleotides long. It matches the Rfam family "tRNA". From Rfam's summary of the family: Transfer RNA (tRNA) molecules are approximately 80 nucleotides in length. Lineage: Archaea; Thermoproteati; Thermoproteota; Thermoprotei; Sulfolobales; Sulfolobaceae. The record is from Rfam.
GGGCCUGUCGUCUAGCCUGGUUAGGACGCUGCCCUCACACGGCAGUAAUCGAGGGUUCAAAUCCCUCCGGGCCCA